This 391-nucleotide long non-coding RNA is filed under the name Cricetulus griseus (Chinese hamster). RNAcentral's name for it is "lncRNA (ENSCGRG00015038153.1)". Lineage: Eukaryota; Metazoa; Chordata; Mammalia; Rodentia; Cricetidae. The record is from RNAcentral.
CAUACCUUCUAAAUCAGAAUACAUGUGGGCGUCCACAUUUACACUUUACAGGUCCAGAGUCUUCGUGGGACUAUCCAGGAAAAGAUGACAAAAAUCUCUUCACAUGAUUGUCCAGGAAAAGCUUUUCUUGAGUCCCACUGUGAACACAAAGUUGUGCCCAUGAUCCUGCUGUGGUGUCUUCCCAGAAGAGUGGAGCUCAAGGGAGACUGGGAAUGGAAGAAGCAAGAAGUUCUGACAAUACCAAUUGUUUAGACUGGCUAGGCCCACUGGCCAGCAAGCUCUGGGAUCACCUCCUCUCUCUCUCUCCAGAGCUGACAUUACAGAUGUGUCCUGCUGUGCCUGUAUCCUGGCUGAGUGCUAAGGAUCUGGACUCAGGACCUCACGUGUUCCA